This 730-nucleotide ribosomal RNA is filed under the name uncultured bacterium. RNAcentral's name for it is "bacterial SSU rRNA". It matches the Rfam family "Bacterial small subunit ribosomal RNA", at positions 771 to 1501 of the family's 1533-position model. The record is from RNAcentral.
AACAGGAUUAGAUACCCUGGUAGUCCACGCCGUAAACGAUGUCGACUUGGAGGUUGUGCCCUUGAGGCGUGGCUUCCGGAGCUAACGCGUUAAGUCGACCGCCUGGGGAGUACGGCCGCAAGGUUAAAACUCAAAUGAAUUGACGGGGGCCCGCACAAGCGGUGGAGCAUGUGGUUUAAUUCGAUGCAACGCGAAGAACCUUACCUACUCUUGACAUCCAGAGAACUUAGCAGAGAUGCUUUGGUGCCUUCGGGAACUCUGAGACAGGUGCUGCAUGGCUGUCGUCAGCUCGUGUUGUGAAAUGUUGGGUUAAGUCCCGCAACGAGCGCAACCCUUAUCCUUUGUUGCCAGCGGUUAGGCCGGGAACUCAAAGGAGACCGCCAGUGAUAAACUGGAGGAAGGUGGGGAUGACGUCAAGUCAUCAUGGCCCUUACGAGUAGGGCUACACACGUGCUACAAUGGCAUAUACAAAGAGAAGCGACCUCGCGAGAGCAAGCGGACCUCAUAAAGUAUGUCGUAGUCCGGAUUGGAGUCUGCAACUCGACUCCAUGAAGUCGGAAUCGCUAGUAAUCGUGGAUCAGAAUGCCACGGUGAAUACGUUCCCGGGCCUUGUACACACCGCCCGUCACACCAUGGGAGUGGGUUGCAAAAGAAGUAGGUAGCUUAACCUUCGGGAGGGCGCUUACCACUUUGUGAUUCAUGACUGGGGUGAAGUCGUAACAAGGUAACC